GACGAACGCUGGUGGCGUGCUUAACACAUGCAAGUCGAACGGUAAGGCCCUUCGGGGUACACGAGUGGCGAACGGGUGAGUAACACGUGGGUGAUCUGCCCUGCACUUCGGGAUAAGACUGGGAAACUGGGUCUAAUACCGGAUAGGACCACUGCCUGCAUGGGGGGUGGUGGAAAGCUUUUGCGGUGUGGGAUGGGCCCGCGGCCGAUUAGCUUGUUGGUGGGGUGAUGGCCUACCAAGGCGACGACGGGUAGCCGGCCUGAGAGGGUGACCGGCCACACGGGGACUGAGAUACGGCCCAGACUCCUACGGGAGGCAGCAGUGGGGAAUAUUGCACAAUGGGCGCAAGCCUGAUGCAGCGACGCCGCGUGAGGGAUGACGGCCUUCGGGUUGUAAACCUCUUUCAGCACCGACGAAGCGCAAGUGACGGUAGGUGCAGAAGAAGGACCGGCCAACUACGUGCCAGCAGCCGCGGUAA
This 478-nucleotide ribosomal RNA is filed under the name uncultured bacterium. Its description in RNAcentral is "partial 16S ribosomal RNA". It matches the Rfam family "Bacterial small subunit ribosomal RNA", at positions 28 to 523 of the family's 1533-position model. The record is from RNAcentral.